AUUGAACGCUGGCGGCAGGCCUAACACAUGCAAGUCGAACGAGUGGCGGACGGGUGAGUAAUGUCUGGGAAACUGCCUGAUGGAGGGGGAUAACUACUGGAAACGGUAGCUAAUACCGCAUACCAUCGGAUGUGCCCAGAUGGGAUUAGCUAGUAGGUGGGGUAACGGCUCACCUAGGCGACGAUCCCUAGCUGGUCUGAGAGGAUGACCAGCCAGACUGGAACUGAGACACGGUCGAGACUCCUACGGGAGGCAGCGGUGGGGAAGAUUGCACAAUGGGCGCAAGCCUGAUGCAGCCAUGCCGCGUGUAUGAAGAAGGCCUUCGGGUUGUAAAGGACUUUCAGCGGGGAGGCGUUACCAACAGAAUAAGCGCCGGCUAACGUCGUGCCAGCAGCCGCGGUAAUUC
RNAcentral lists this ribosomal RNA (406 nucleotides) under uncultured bacterium. RNAcentral's name for it is "partial 16S ribosomal RNA". It matches the Rfam family "Bacterial small subunit ribosomal RNA", at positions 30 to 526 of the family's 1533-position model. The record is from RNAcentral.